RNAcentral lists this long non-coding RNA (303 nucleotides) under Homo sapiens (human). RNAcentral describes it as "HSALNT0295909". The record is from RNAcentral. Lineage: Eukaryota; Metazoa; Chordata; Mammalia; Primates; Hominidae.
GCUGGGGGGGCGGUGGAGCCCGGGGCCGGCCUGCUCUCCGGGGCCGAGGUGACACCGUGGGCUGCGGGCGCGGUGGAGCCCGGGGCCGGCCUGCUCUCCGGGGCCGAGGUGACACCGUGGGCUGGGGGGGCGGUGGAGCCCGGGGCGGGCCUGGUGUCCGGGGCCGAGGUGACACCGUGGGCUGGGGGGGCGGUGGAGCCCGGGGCCGGCCUGGUGUCCGGGGCCGAGGUGACACCGUGGGCUUGGGGGGCGGUGGAGCCCGGGGCCGGCCUGGUGUCCGGGGCCGAGGUGACACCGUGGGCU